This 67-nucleotide transfer RNA is filed under the name Plutella xylostella (diamondback moth). Its description in RNAcentral is "tRNA-Ser". Lineage: Eukaryota; Metazoa; Arthropoda; Insecta; Lepidoptera; Plutellidae. The record is from RNAcentral.
GACCGGAUGGUGUAGUGGUUAGUGACUACUGAGCCGAAGGUCCCGGGUUCGAUUCCCGGCCGGGGCA